GACGAACGCUGGCGGCGUGCUUAACACAUGCAGGUCGAACGGAAAGGCCCUGCUUUUGUGGGGUGCUCGAGUGGCGAACGGGUGAGUAACACGUGAGUAACCUGCCCUUGACUUUGGGAUAACUUCAGGAAACUGGGGCUAAUACCGGAUAGGAGCUCCUGCUGCAUGGUGGGGGUGGGAAAGUUUCGGCGGUUGGGGAUGGACUCGCGGCUUAUCAGUUUGUUGGUGGGGUAGUGGCUUACCAAGGCUUUGACGGGUAGCCGGCCUGAGAGGGUGACCGGCCACAUUGGGACUGAGAUACGGCCCAGACUCCUACGGGAGGCAGCAGUGGGGAAUAUUGCACAAUGGGCGGAAGCCUGAUGCAGCAACGCCGCGUGCGGGAUGACGGCCUUCGGGUUGUAAACCGCUUUCGCCUGUGACGAAGCGUGAGUGACGGUAAUGGGUAAAGAAGCACCGGCUAACUACGUG
Molecule: ribosomal RNA, 468 nt
Filed under: uncultured bacterium
Lineage: Bacteria
Description: partial 16S ribosomal RNA
Rfam family: Bacterial small subunit ribosomal RNA
Source: RNAcentral